AUGAUAGUGGCUGCUGGUACAUUUUUACAGCAAUAACAGUACUCAUACUAAUUAUAUCUUGGAUAUAUUAAACCCGACGUGAUGUGACGGCGCAGCAAUACAGUGGUUCAAGAAGAGGAUGAAAAGAAGUAGUUAGGUAGCGUGAAGAACCUCAGGGUUGGAGCAGCCUAGUAGCUUCUGCUGUUGCUUAUUCAUGAAGCUUCUAGAGCGCCACAUCAAAACUAGUUAAACGGAGUGGAAUGUGCAUGUAACUGGUUCGAAAAUAGUAAUAAAACAACUAAUUUAAAAACUUUUAAUUUCGUAAAACGUCUGAAACGUAACGUUGAGUGAGAAACUGAAGUAAGGACUGUAGACUCAUACAUUGCUGCGAUACGUACACGUUUGACUGUCUUGUCAGUUAUUCAUAUUCUAAAUAUGAAUGAAAAUAGAAUGCAUUUAUAACGUCGACAGUGAGGACAAACAUCAUUAGUGACAGAAACCUGUACCAUAGUAUACCCUUUCGAUAUCAAUAAAUCAAAAAACCAGGAAAAUACGCCUUGAGAGUGCCCAUAAGCAUCUCAGGUUUAAGUGUGUAUCAGCCGUGUAGUAAGAGAAAUCGUGGAGGUGAAGGUUUUCGUGACGGGCUUGGCCAGAAGUGUAGCCGAGAUGGGGUGCACAAUGUCCAUGGAAGAAAAGGCAGCCUUGGCCAAGAGCCGGGAGAUUGACCGAGCUCUCUUUUUCGCUGCCGAGAGCGCUGCCCGGGACGUCAAGCUUCUUCUUUUGGCGAUUUCCAUCUGUUGAGGUCUGAAGAAGUUCAUAGAAGGACAGUUUCUACACAUGAUGUGAUGACAACUGUUCGACGAUGGCUACUUACUUGGCCGACAGAAUUUCUAUGUGGAAGGCUUAAACAAACUAGUAGGACUUUGUGGUAAGUGUCGUUUUGUGAUUGUCGGAACCAGUGAACAAUAUUCAAUACGACUAAGUUGUAUUUUAGUCAAGAAAAAAUAUUGGAUACAAUCACUUUUCGAUCUGCCCUCGCAUAUGUAUAGGUAUAUAUUUAU
Molecule: non-coding RNA, 1040 nt
Organism: Cherax quadricarinatus
Lineage: Eukaryota; Metazoa; Arthropoda; Malacostraca; Decapoda; Parastacidae
Source: RefSeq, a predicted model, not a curated record